Pimephales promelas (fathead minnow) is the source of this 1013-nucleotide non-coding RNA. The record is from RefSeq and is a predicted model, not a curated record. Lineage: Eukaryota; Metazoa; Chordata; Actinopteri; Cypriniformes; Leuciscidae.
UGUUCAAUCAUAGCGUCUGAUCCACAAAACGUGUCAUUGGGUGUUUUAUCAGUGUCCUCUCCAGCGCGAGGAAAUAUGUGGAUUUAUCAUCAGGUUUGUUCAUUCUGAAUCACGAAAACAGCUCAUUGGAUUUUGAGGAUUAUGUCGUUUCGGCAUUUGUGGAAUAUCAUGCAUUCACCACAAGGAAAUCCGAGACAUGAAGUCUUAUAAUUUCAACAGGGUGCGCAACGUUAAGUGGAUGUAAACAGAGAACUUGUAACGGUUUUUAAACACGGGAGGAUAAUCGUGAAAAAGCGUUCUGGACAACAUCUGAUAAGCAUAACCUGUUGUUAUCCUUAACACCAGAGGGGAAUCGUGAAAUACAUCAUGAACAACAGCUGAGCUGAUAAAGCGUGAACUGUUGUUAUCCUUAACACCAGAGGGGAAUCGUGAAAUACAUCAUGAACAACAGCUGAGCUGAUAAGGUUGUUGUUAACCGCGCUGAAGGACAACCGUGAAACCCCUGACAGCAACUAAUAUUGGUAACAAAGCACCUUUUAAAUGAAUGUUAUCCAGAUUAUCAAUGGAAAAGACACAACGCAAGUUAUGCAAUAUAUCAUAAUUACUGAUUUCUUUUUAUUAAUUUGAUUGUUAUUAUUUUUAUUCAUUUGACUGUUAUUUUACAGUUGUUAUUUGUAAUAAUAGUAUGGGUUGUUGUUAUUAAAAUCUCUUCAGCGUCACCAACCCCAGCGGUGGGAUCCCCAAAAACCAUUACCUAGACUAAUCUUGACAAACUACAUAUCAUUUGAAAUCUUACAUUCUCUAGUUUUCAUAUUUGAUGAUUACUUUUUAUUUGUUUUUAUUAAUUUGACUGUUAUUUGUAAUACUGCUAUGGUUUGUUGUUAAACAUUACCCAUCAGCUAUUACUAUUAUCUAUGAAUGGUGAUGGUGUUGGAGUAUUCGUUUAUAGUCUACUAGUAACACAUUAAAACAAAAUGGCUUCUAAAAGAUCUUACACUGAUAUGCAGUCAGAC